RNAcentral lists this ribosomal RNA (333 nucleotides) under uncultured bacterium. RNAcentral describes it as "bacterial SSU rRNA". It matches the Rfam family "Bacterial small subunit ribosomal RNA", at positions 568 to 898 of the family's 1533-position model. The record is from RNAcentral.
UGUGUAGGCGGCCGCGCAAGUCUGGUGUGAAAUCUUCACCGCUUAACGGGAAGAGGUCACUGGAAACUGCGUGGCUCGAGUAUGGUAGAGGCAAGCGGAAUUCCUGGUGUAGCGGUGGAAUGUGUAGAUAUCAGGAAGAACACCGGUGGCGAAGGCGGCUUGCUGGGCCAUCACUGACGCUGAGACACGAAAGCGUGGGGAGCAAACGGGAUUAGAUACCCCGGUAGUCCACGCUGUAAACGGUGCGCACUAGGUGUGAGGGGUAUCGACCCCCCUUGUGCCGAAGCAAGCGCAUUAAGUGCGCCGCCUGGGGAGUACGGCCGCAAGGUUGAA